UUAUCUUCCUACUAUAAGAUUCUAUCUUUAUUUACUACUAUAAUUCUACGUACAGCCUGUACCGCCGUCGGCGACUGCACCGCUGAUAGGAUAAGCUGUAACCAACACGGUCCUAACACACCGGUACACUGUGUGGACAGCUAUUGUAGGUGUGAGGGGCAAGGCCACAACCAUGGCAACCAUCAUCCUCCUGGGGGACACCAACCAGCCGCCGCAGGACAACACCACAACAACUAGGGUACAUACUCAACACCACAACUAAGGUAAAAGUCUACAUGCCAACUCGACAAGAAAGUAAAUAAAGUUGUACUUACUUCA
Pecten maximus is the source of this 318-nucleotide long non-coding RNA. RefSeq lists it as uncharacterized. The transcript has 2 exons. NCBI's taxonomy places the organism in Eukaryota, Metazoa, Mollusca, Bivalvia, Pectinida, Pectinidae. The record is from RefSeq and is a predicted model, not a curated record.